RNAcentral lists this long non-coding RNA (833 nucleotides) under Medicago truncatula (barrel medic). RNAcentral's name for it is "long non-coding RNA (MTRU_LNC001646)". The record is from RNAcentral. Lineage: Eukaryota; Viridiplantae; Streptophyta; Magnoliopsida; Fabales; Fabaceae.
UGCCUCAUUAAAAACCUUACCAGAAAAACCCAGUGGGAUAAAACCAUGGUUAAGGGAAAAAGAGUGCAGAACACAUUAAUGUCUCCCUCUCAUAAAUACAACAAAGAAGUUUAAAUAAUCUUUCACAUUAGUUACUCAAAAUCUUUACUUGGCGGUGACUCUGUAGAAAGAUAUGAUAUAUCUUCAUACUUUUCUCCAAAUUAGAAGUUCUUUAGAUAUUAUCUUCAUAUGUAGUUGUAGAAAGAGUCUCCAAUUAUCAAAUUAUAAAAUCAUAAGUUUCUUGUAUGUAUGAAAUCAUAAUACUUAACAAACAGCAUUCUCCACUUGCUAACAUUUUCAAAUGAUCGGAUGAUACUGUUGUUUCUUUAAGAUAUAAAUUGCAUGUUUGACUUUGCUGCAAUAUCUGUAUUUACUAACAUUGACAAAAAUAAAAUACCAUGAUAUAUAUAAUAAGCAAAAUACAUUAGUGUUCUUACCUGACCAAUUCAAAUUGUUCAUAAUUUUCUUGAGGACGUGAUCUUUACUCAUAUCAAGUGACAUCACAAUCAUUUUAUUACAUAAUCAACUAGAUUUGUUCAUAUCGACCUUUAUAUAACAAAUUUUAGAAUCUCAUCAGGUGUUCUAAUAAUAUUUUUACGAUUAUCAUAAAAUUGCUUAUAAGAAAUUCAUUUCCAUAUCUUUAAAAUGGGACAAAUGAUGUCAUCUUUUCAAUAAUUUUGAUAGUGUCUAUUACACAAAUGAAAUCCUUCAGGGAGCUUCAUAUGUCACUAUCAAGUGAGCCAUACAAAUAUAUUGUAGCACAUCUUUCGUAUAAUUUGAGUCUUUCAUGUGCU